RNAcentral lists this ribosomal RNA (427 nucleotides) under uncultured bacterium. Its description in RNAcentral is "bacterial SSU rRNA". It matches the Rfam family "Bacterial small subunit ribosomal RNA", at positions 355 to 774 of the family's 1533-position model. The record is from RNAcentral.
UGGGGAAUUUUGGACAAUGGGCGCAAGCCUGAUCCAGCAAUGCCGCGUGCAGGAUGAAGGCCUUCGGGUUGUAAACCGCUUUUUUACGGAACGAAAAGCUUCUGGUUAAUACCUGGGAGUCAUGACGGUACCGUAAGAAUAAGCACCGGCUAACUACGUGCCAGCAGCCGCGGUAAUACGUAGGGUGCGUGCGUUAAUCGUAAUUACUGGGCGUAAAGCGUGCGCAGGCGGUUAUGUAAGACAGAGGUGAAAUCCCCGGGCUCAACCUGGGAACUGCCUUUGUGGCUACAUGGCUAGAGUGCGGCAGAGGGGGAUGGAAUUCCGCGUGUAGCAGAGAAAUGCGUAGAUAUGCGGAAGAACACCGAUGGAGAAGGCAAUCCCCUGGGCCUGCACUGACGCUCAUGCAAGAAAGCGUGGGGAACAAACA